Non-coding RNA from Myodes glareolus (Bank vole), 706 nucleotides. Lineage: Eukaryota; Metazoa; Chordata; Mammalia; Rodentia; Cricetidae. The record is from RefSeq and is a predicted model, not a curated record.
UCUAAAAAUAGUGUAACUACGAGGAGGAUGAAGACUUCACAGGAAGGAGCAGAAACCAAAGGAGAGGAAUAGAAACCAUGGCAAGCUCUGACUUAGAAGGCUGUAGUAGAGAUCAUCUUGAAAGAUAUUGGUUGGUAUUUUCCUCAGCUUUGCUUACAAGGCCUCAUCACCCUCUCUCUUAGUUACAGCUAGGACCCAAAAUUGUGAUCUUCCAGGAACAGGAGGACGGUUAGGCCUUUGGAACGAGGGUCGUACAUGCUCCUUCAGGGUUUUGGCACGAGAUCAAUGAAAAUGAAGACACGACCACUCCAAGCUGUGCGCUACUCCCUGUGCGUCUCCCGCAGCCUGGGUUCCCCCAGAUGCUCGGCUGAACGGAUGCCUGCAAGCCUCUGCUCCAGUGCCCAUUGUUUAGAAUGCCUUGACAGGGUUGCACCCAUUCCAAGCGAGGCGACAAGAAAUCAACCAUCUUUGGGAUUUACGUGGAAAAGCUGGUGGUAGCUGAAGUCAUGCACAGACUGAUGAGCGCUUACUGUAAUGUGCUCUCAAAGUUCAGUGUUGUAAGCUCUCUAGGUGACUGCAAAAUGAUUGAUUCUGAAGAUGAACCCUGAAGAAAUAAAUUGAUUCCUCUGAAGACCUCAUGGUGGAAAGCAUGUUUGACAUGGCAUGGCACGAUGGCACAGCACCGCACAGCAUGGCACAGCAUGGC